RNAcentral lists this long non-coding RNA (277 nucleotides) under Setaria viridis. RNAcentral describes it as "long non-coding RNA (SVIR_LNC007886)". Lineage: Eukaryota; Viridiplantae; Streptophyta; Magnoliopsida; Poales; Poaceae. The record is from RNAcentral.
AAGCUUCUUGGAGUGGCAGUUGGAAGCGGUAGCGGGCAAAGGGGGGUGGCUGACCGCUUGGGAGUGAGAGCGGCCGGGAGGGUGUCCGCUGGGGUCGUGGUGUGGUGCACCGUCGGCGGGCAGGCGCAAUGCCGGCGUGAGGAGGACGGGGAGGGAGAGCGCUCCAUCUUCAAAGAGCAACAGAUGAAUAAUCCAUCAUUGUAGAUGAGCAACUUGAUGGCGGCCGCCGUGAUGAUGCCGAGCGGUUCCGCUCCUCUAAUGAUUGGGGGACGCACCG